UUAAAACCAGCCCUAGCCAACCAGUUCCUUUCACGGGGAUCUGGUAUGUAAUAGUUGCUGAGAGCAACCUCCUUGGUAGUGUAUGCAGCCUGGUAUGUCGGGUUCCCUUUAGAGACCUUCCAGACAGUU
Small nucleolar RNA from Cricetulus griseus (Chinese hamster), 129 nucleotides. Its record names the gene SNORA70. It matches the Rfam family "Small nucleolar RNA SNORA70". From Rfam's summary of the family: snoRNA U70 seems to be exclusive to mammals and is a member of the H/ACA class of snoRNA which contain H (ANANNA) and ACA box motifs. H/ACA box snoRNAs are involved in the conversion of uridines to pseudouridines (5-ribosyluracil) a constituent of structural RNAs (transfer, ribosomal, small nuclear, and small nucleolar). NCBI's taxonomy places the organism in Eukaryota, Metazoa, Chordata, Mammalia, Rodentia, Cricetidae. The record is from Ensembl.